This 378-nucleotide ribosomal RNA is filed under the name uncultured bacterium. RNAcentral's name for it is "bacterial SSU rRNA". It matches the Rfam family "Bacterial small subunit ribosomal RNA", at positions 523 to 898 of the family's 1533-position model. The record is from RNAcentral.
AUACGUAGGGUGCAAGCGUUGUCCGGAUUUACUGGGCGUAAAGAGCUCGUAGGUGGUGUGUCGCGUCGUCUGUGAAAUUCCGGGGCUUAACUCCGGGCGUGCAGGCGAUACGGGCACGACUAGAGUGCUGUAGGGGUAACUGGAAUUCCUGGUGUAGCGGUGAAAUGCGCAGAUAUCAGGAGGAACACCGAUGGCGAAGGCAGGUUACUGGGCAGUUACUGACGCUGAGGAGCGAAAGCAUGGGGAGCGAACAGGAUUAGAUACCCUGGUAGUCCAUGCUGUAAACGGUGGGCGCUAGGUGUGGGCUGUGUGUUUGCAGUCUGUGCCGUAGCUAACGCAUUAAGCGCCCCGCCUGGGGAGUACGGCCGCAAGGCUAAA